Molecule: long non-coding RNA, 3025 nt
Filed under: Prunus persica (peach)
Lineage: Eukaryota; Viridiplantae; Streptophyta; Magnoliopsida; Rosales; Rosaceae
Description: long non-coding RNA (PPER_LNC005543)
Source: RNAcentral
UGAUACUUAAACUAAACAAGCAGAUCAAACAUGGAUUUCAUCUGCACGUGCAAGUGCACCGUGAAAUACCGACACCAAUUAAAAAGCUCUGUAUAUAUUAUAAGAUGUAGAAAUAAACCAGCAGAGCGAGCAACCCCCUGCAGCUUUUUCGCACCUUCUUUGAAGAAACUUAUUGAUUGUAGAAAGCUGAAAGCAAAAAGAUAUGGUUGAUCCUUCGUAUAUGUAUAUUCAUCAUUGCAUCACGUUACUCAGAAUACAUAUAUAUCUAAUGCAUACGGUUUCUUUUUCUUUUCUUUUCUUUUUUUGGGUUCGGAAGAAGCAUAUGCAUAUAUGUAAUGUAAUAUGUUACAACGUAAAUAAAGGGGAGGCUCUCCUCCCCUGCCUCUGGUCUCAGGUCUCAGGGGAGCUUGUUUAAUUAUAAGUGUAUGUAUAAAUUCUCGACGUAAUCUUACAUAAUUUGUAAGAAUUCACUGUCAAUUGCCAUACAGAUGGGACUGUAAUAUUGCAGAGUUUUGUUAUUUACUGCAUGUAUAUACAUGUCAUAUAUUAUAUACGUGACUGAUGAUGACAGACUAGCAAGCAAGCAGAAGGGAUGAGAAUCAAUAUUCGUGCACUACGAGCAGGAGGAGCGCAUAAGCAUGAUGUUACUGGUGGACUGGGAUUGUCCCAUCUCUAAACAUAAGGACAAAACCCUUAGAUGCCUUACACGUGUACCAGCAGCCGUCAAACUCAAAUAUAUAUAUACAUAUGAUCAAUUGAUGAGGGGCGCAGGGGGCCAUAGAUCCCUCAAUUUCAAUAUGUAGCUAGCUAGCUUAGAUGUAUAUAUCCUGUAUUUUCACACCACAAGAGAGAGACAGAGAGAGAGAGACAGAGAAUCAAGAGACUGAUUGGAGUCUAGCUGUCAGCAUCAUAUACAUAUAUAUAUACAGUGAAGAGAGAGAGAGAGAGAGAGAGAGAGAGAGAGAGAGAGAGAGGAUAGACAUGGACAUUUGGAGUUGGGCCGAGGAUUCUGUUGGUCGGCUGAUAAUGAAGCAGGCAGUGACUCGGUGACGCAGAGCCCUCCAAGACUCGCAACUGCUGAUCAAGUAAGUUUGCCUUGGAGUGGAGCUAGCUAAAGCUAAGCCACCUUGCACUUUGCACUUUGAAGGAAGGAAGGGUCCCCUCCCCCUUUAACUUCAAGGGCCAAUUUUAAAUAAUUUCCUGUUACUUUCCUUUCCCUUGUCAUCUCUUAUUAGCAACACUCAUACUCAAACCCUACUUCCUUGGCUUCUUCUUAUUCCUUUCAGAAGUUUCCCUUGUCAUUUUCGUCCUUCUUUAUAUUCUUCAAGAUAUCAUAAUAUUGUACACACCCGCCUCAAUACAGUAGCUGCAUAUUUUUCUAAUUUAUUCAAGUUAACAGUGUUAUGUUGAAGAUAUUAACAGUGUUAUGUUGAAGAUAAGUGUUUGAACACGUGUCGAAAAAUUAUACGAGAAACACAAAGAGAAACGUAUGGAAAAUAAAGACAACGCAAAGAGAAACGUAUGGAAAAUGAGGACAACGAUCCCGUCCCUUGUUAUGUUGGAAUUAGCGACUGUAAAAAAUGAUCAUAAGAAACAUGGUCUAAUAAUUUAUACAGUGAGCAAAUUAAUAAUAAUAAAAAAUAUAAAUAUAACGAAAGAAAUGAAAAGAAUGGGCAUACUUAAAUAAAUAAUUGUACUAGCUAGUGUCUUAAUUAUUUAAAGGGCCACGUAGCAAUAAUUAAUUUUGAUAUAUGUGUGUAGUAAAAAAGGCAUUGGAAGCAUGCAUGUCCCGAUUGAAGGCAUAUCUCUCGAUCAUGUUGUCAUAUUGAUGGUAUCCUCUCCUGCCUUCCUCUUUCUUUUGUUCCCUUGUUACUCGUAAUAAUUUAUUAAUACAUAUGUAUAUGGACAAACAUAUAAAGAGAUUUCAAGAAUUAAUUCAAGGCUACAAACAAAGCAAGAUAUAUACAUGUCAAUUUCGUUGGUCAAUACAUACAGCUUUAAUUUGCUCGAGACAAACACAUGUUGUUGAAUCAUCAUUGUAUCAAGAGAUCAACAAGGGAGGUGUGGGAUGUUGGUUCAUUGCCAUUUACUUGUUGUCUAUAUUUUCAAGGUAAAUCCCCUUCUCAAAGAUAUCAAAAGUCUUUACAAUUUCUUUUAAAGAAUUUAAAUAAUAAUUUUGUUUUUGUUUUUUGGUUUUUGGUUUUUGGUUUUUGUCUAGAUAAUUAAUUAAAUUGUCACAAGAUGGAUGUUGAUCAUAAUGCUCUCCGUCGCUAGUAGACACAAAAGAAUGGUGGGUUGGGGUAAAGGGGGCUUUGCAGUUUGCAAUAUUAAAAAAGCUAAAGACUAGUUUCAGGACCCAUAAUGGACAUGAACCAAACAAGAAAGAGACAGAUAUCAAUAGAUUUCCAGUGAAUUCUUUCCAAAGGUUUGUCACUUGCUCACAAAAAAGCGAUCGAGUCUUUUUUCUUUUUCCCAACAUAUAAGUUAGUUUUGGUAAGCUAGGUUGAAGCUUCCUUCCCAACUCAACUUCAACCCCCUUUCCUUAGAACAUGAUUCCUUCUUUCUUUUAUUCUUGCCAACGAGGAAAAAUAAAAAUUAAUUAACGUGGGUUGAAGAAGUAAACGGACGUACAAUAAUGAAUAAUAAUCUAGCAGCUAGUAGGACAUGGGAGCGUGGGUUGUUGUUUCUCUCUUUUUCUUUCUUCUAGUUUCUUUUUUCUCUUCUUUUCAUCCCCCUUUUCUCUUUGUUAUAUCUUUUUGGUUGUGAUGAUGUGUACCCUUUUAUAGGAAGAUGACCUUUUAGUCUCCAUGUGCCUCUCCUCUCUCCUCUCCUCUCUCCCCUCUCUCCUCUCCCCUCUCCAUCCCCUUCAACCAGGCUUCAGGGCUUUCAAACCGUGCUAGUGCUAGUGCUAGUGCUAGUGCUAUUGGAUCCUCUCACACGAAAGACAAAUAUCCAAAAAGUAGGAGGAUCUACUUACCCGGAAGUGAACCAAAGUAUCACAAAAUCGAGGCAAAACCAUGUGACA